Molecule: ribosomal RNA, 92 nt
Filed under: uncultured bacterium
Lineage: Bacteria
Description: partial 16S ribosomal RNA
Rfam family: Bacterial small subunit ribosomal RNA
Source: RNAcentral
AGGGAUGAAUGCCUUCGGGUUGUAAACCUCUUUCAGCAGGGACGAAGCGAAAGUGACGGUACCUGCAGAAGAAGCGCCGGCUAACUACGUGC